Molecule: ribosomal RNA, 427 nt
Filed under: uncultured bacterium
Lineage: Bacteria
Description: bacterial SSU rRNA
Rfam family: Bacterial small subunit ribosomal RNA
Source: RNAcentral
GUGGGGAAUAUUGCGCAAUGGGGGGAACCCUGACGCAGCAACGCCGCGUGAGCGAAGAAGGCCUUCGGGUCGUAAAGCUCUGUCAUAGGGGACGAGAAGGAGACGGUACCCUAUGAGGAAGCCCCGGCUAACUACGUGCCAGCAGCCGCGGUAAUACGUAGGGGGCGAGCGUUGUCCGGAAUUACUGGGCGUAAAGGGUGCGUAGGCGGCCUGAUAAGUCAGAUGUGAAAUACCAGGGCUCAACCCUGGGGGUGCAUUUGAAACUGUUGGGCUUGAGUGCAGGAGAGGAAAGCGGAAUUCCUAGUGUAGCGGUGAAAUGCGUAGAGAUUAGGAGGAACACCAGUGGCGAAGGCGGCUUUCUGGACUGUAACUGACGCUGAGGCACGAAAGCGUGGGGAGCAAACAGGAUUAGAAACCCUAGUAGUCC